This 253-nucleotide ribosomal RNA is filed under the name uncultured bacterium. RNAcentral describes it as "partial 16S ribosomal RNA". It matches the Rfam family "Bacterial small subunit ribosomal RNA", at positions 524 to 776 of the family's 1533-position model. The record is from RNAcentral.
UACGAAGGGGGCUAGCGUUGCUCGGAAUGACUGGGCGUAAAGAGCUCGUAGGCGGUCUGUCGCGUCUGCUGUGAAAUCCCGGGGCUCAACCUCGGGCCUGCAGUGGGUACGGGCAGACUAGAGUGCGGUAGGGGAGAUUGGAAUUCCUGGUGUAGCGGUGGAAUGCGCAGAUAUCAGGAGGAACACCGAUGGCGAAGGCAGAUCUCUGGGCCGUAACUGACGCUGAGGAGCGAAAGCGUGGGGAGCGAACAGG